UCUGCAGCAGUUAAGGGUGCUCAGUGGACCCCCUGGGUCACUCUCCAAGGAGUAUGUUGGCUGUGCGACAGAGACACUUGGAAGGUUGCUCUGCAGCCACUGACUCCUUCAGAGUCAGAGGCAGUUCUCACCUUACUGAAGUUUUCCUCAAGCUGAUGCUUCUCUAAUAAAAUCAGCAAUGUUGUUUUUAUUUCUCUCAAGUGGCAGGACAGAAAGGCAGCAGCCAUUUCAAAAACAUACACUUUAAUUGUAUUAAAAAAUACCCAUAUUUUAGUAAGCAGUUUCUCCUCACAGCCACAGCCCUAUUGAAGCAGCCACACAUCUGCAAGAUGCAGACAACAUCAGAACUGUUAUAACUACAACCAGCCUGCUGCAAGAGGUGAGAUGCACCUAAGAGACUCCAGUGGAGACAUAUAUGGCUGCAUCUGGCUUGUCAAAUUGAAAGGAAGAUGACCUGAAGAGGAAGGGUCAGUUUGGUUCUUGGAUCCCUUGAGGAAGAGAGCUGACUAUGGAAUUGUGUUAACCAUGAUGUUUCAUAAUAUACCAAACCAGUGCAACAUAAAAUCAGUGAAAGAGGCUCAGCUCUCUAA
Long non-coding RNA from Pezoporus occidentalis (night parrot), 590 nucleotides. RefSeq lists it as uncharacterized. The record is from RefSeq and is a predicted model, not a curated record. The transcript has 2 exons. NCBI's taxonomy places the organism in Eukaryota, Metazoa, Chordata, Aves, Psittaciformes, Psittacidae.